Molecule: non-coding RNA, 508 nt
Filed under: Triticum aestivum (bread wheat)
Lineage: Eukaryota; Viridiplantae; Streptophyta; Magnoliopsida; Poales; Poaceae
Description: Bacterial small subunit ribosomal RNA
Rfam family: Bacterial small subunit ribosomal RNA
Source: Rfam by way of RNAcentral
AUUUUGGAAACCUUCUAUAGAGGGUUCGUGAGCUCGCCGCGUGGAGGUGGAAGGCCUAUGGGUCAUCAACUUCUUUUAUCAGAGAAGAAACAAUGACGGUAUCUGAGGAAUAAGCGUCGGCUAAUUCUAUGCCAGCAGCCGCGGUAAGACAGAGGAUGCAAGCAUUAUCCGGAAUGAUUGGACAUAAAGCGUCUCUAGGUGGAUUUUCAAGUCCGCCGUCAAAUCCCAGGGCUCAACCCUGGGCAGGUGGUGGAAACUACCAAGCUGGAGUACGGUAGGGGCAACGGGAAUUUGCGGUGGAGCGGUGAAAUGCAUUGAGAUCAGAAAGAACACCAACGGCGAAAGCACUCUGCUGGGCCGACACUCACAUUGAGAGACGAAAGCUAGGGGAGCGGAUGGGAUUGGAGACCCCAGUAGUCCUAGCCGUAAACGAUGGAUACAAGGUUAGUUUUUUCUUCAGUUUUCUUUACAGAUUUUUUUGGUUUCCUUUCGUUUCUUCAUUUUUUUU